UAGCGACCUUUUUGGGCAGAUGUAUAGUC
This 29-nucleotide non-coding RNA is filed under the name Mus musculus (house mouse). The record is from RNAcentral. Lineage: Eukaryota; Metazoa; Chordata; Mammalia; Rodentia; Muridae.